RNAcentral lists this ribosomal RNA (497 nucleotides) under uncultured bacterium. RNAcentral describes it as "partial 16S ribosomal RNA". It matches the Rfam family "Bacterial small subunit ribosomal RNA", at positions 28 to 507 of the family's 1533-position model. The record is from RNAcentral.
GAUGAACGCUGGCGGCGUGCCUAAUACAUGCAAGUCGAGCGAACGGACGAGAAGCUUGCUUCUCUGAUGUUAGCGGCGGACGGGUGAGUAACACGUGGAUAACCUACCUAUAAGACUGGGAUAACUUCGGGAAACCGGAGCUAAUACCGGAUGAUAUUUUGAACCGCAUGGUUCAAAAGUGAAAGACGGUCUUGCUGUCACUUAUAGAUGGAUCCGCGCUGCAUUAGCUAGUUGGUAAGGUAACGGCUUACCAAGGCAACGAUGCAUAGCCGAACUGAGAGGGUGAUCGGCCACACUGGAACUGAGACACGGACCACACUCCUACGGGAAGCAGCAGUAGGGAAUCUUCCGCAAUGGGCGAAAGCCUGACGGAGCAACGCCGCGUGAGUGAAGAAGGUCUUCGGAUCGUAAAACUCUGUUAUUAGGGAAGAACAUAUGUGUAAGUAACUGUGCACAUCCUGACGGUACCUAAUCAGAAAGCCACGGCUAACUACGUG